Molecule: ribosomal RNA, 253 nt
Filed under: uncultured bacterium
Lineage: Bacteria
Description: partial 16S ribosomal RNA
Rfam family: Bacterial small subunit ribosomal RNA
Source: RNAcentral
CACGGGGGGAGCAAGCGUUGUUCGGAAUCACUGGGCGUAAAGGGCGUGUAGGCGGUCAAGUAAGUGGAAUGUGAAAUGCCCCGGCUCACCCGGGGACCUGCAUCCCAAACUGCUUGGCUUGAGUAUGGGAGAGGAUGAGGGAAUUCUUGGUGUAGCGGUGAAAUGCGUAGAUAUCAGGAGGAACACCGGUGGCGAAGGCGCUCAUCUGGCCCAAUACUGACGCUGAGGCGCGAAAGCUAGGGGAGCAAACGGG